This 269-nucleotide ribosomal RNA is filed under the name uncultured bacterium. RNAcentral describes it as "partial 16S ribosomal RNA". It matches the Rfam family "Bacterial small subunit ribosomal RNA", at positions 88 to 354 of the family's 1533-position model. The record is from RNAcentral.
CCGGCGACCGGCGCACGGGUGAGUAACACGUAUGCAACCUGCCCGUGGCAGGGGGAUAAGCGGGGGAAACCCCGUCUAAUACCGCGUAACGCGGCCUAGGGACAUCCCAAGGCCGCCAAAGGGAGCAAUCCCGGCCACGGAUGGGCAUGCGGCGCAUUAGCUAGUCGGCGGGGUAACGGCCCACCGAGGCGACGAUGCGUAGGGGUUCUGAGAGGAAGGCCCCCACACUGGUACUGAGACACGGACCAGACUCCUACGGGAGGCAGCAG